UACGUAGGGGCCGAGCGUUGUCCGGAGUUAUUGGGCGUAAAGCGCGCGCAGGCGGCUUCGCGCGCCCGACGUGAAAGCCCCCGGCUUAACCGGGGAGAGUCGUUGGGGACGGCGGAGCUUGAGGGCGGGAGAGGUCGGUGGAAUUCCCGGUGUAGUGGUGAAAUGCGCAGAUAUCAGGAGGAACACCAGUGGCGAAGGCGGCUCACUGGCCCGUAACUGACGCUGAGGUGCGAAAGCGUGGGGAGCAAACAGG
This 253-nucleotide ribosomal RNA is filed under the name uncultured bacterium. Its description in RNAcentral is "partial 16S ribosomal RNA". It matches the Rfam family "Bacterial small subunit ribosomal RNA", at positions 524 to 776 of the family's 1533-position model. The record is from RNAcentral.